Molecule: long non-coding RNA, 554 nt
Filed under: Brassica rapa (field mustard)
Lineage: Eukaryota; Viridiplantae; Streptophyta; Magnoliopsida; Brassicales; Brassicaceae
Description: long non-coding RNA (BRAP_LNC001310)
Source: RNAcentral
GGGUAUCAAUCACAGGAUGCAAGGAUGCUCAAACAAGAAUCUGGACCUGCAGGUAAACAAUAGUUCAUAUCCUCUCUCUCAGUCAAAGUCUGCUUAUAUUGCAAAAUCAUUGACCAAGAUUGGACAGGCUUCCAUGAAUGAAGCUUUAAUGGUUUUAGCCACCAAAUAAUGUUCACUCUUUUUGACAUAUAUCCUAGGAUCAUUUGUGAAGCAAGCCUUAAUGGUUGAGCCACCAAGUCUUGUUCUAAUCCUUUACCUAUAGAAUUGUUAUGAAGCAAGCCUUAAUGGUUGUAGCCACCAAAUUAUGUUCUAGUUCCUUCUUUAUAAAUCUAUAAUAUUUUUUUUUUUUGAAAACUAUAUCUAUAAUUUUGAAAGUAGAGAGAGGGUUAUAAAUCUACAAAAGGCUUUACGUUCCAGAUUUAUUUGAAGAAUCUGAUCCCAUAAACACCAAGCCCCAAGACAAGCAGAGUUGAGCUCAAUUAGGUUGGAGGUCAGCUUUGGUUCCUUCAAACACUCUUAGCAAGUGUAACAUAGUUGACAUGUUGAUCCAUUUU